GGGCUGUCGCUGUCCUUCACGGGUCGUGCACGCCCAAAGUGUUCUCUCUCACGUCCAUCUCACCCCUUUGUGCAUCACCGCGUGGGCCCCCCUAUUGGGCUUGUUCCGAGGGGGUGUUCACGUUUUUACACAGACACCUUUUUUAAUGCAUGCGUAGAAUGUCUUACUUUUUGCGAUCACACGCAAUCAAUACAACUUUCAACAACGGAUCUCUUGGCUCUCGCAUCGAUGAAGAACGCAGCGAAAUGCGAUACGUAAUGUGAAUUGCAGAAUUCAGUGAAUCAUCGAAUCUUUGAACGCACCUUGCGCCCCUUGGUAUUCCGAGGGGCACACCCGUUUGAGUGUCGUGAACACCCUCAACCUUCUUGGUUUCUUGACCGGGAAGGCUUGGACUUUGGAGGUUUUCCUUUGCUGGCCUCCCUUUGAAGCCAGCUCCUCCUAAAUGAAUUAGUGGGGUCCGCUUUGCCGAUCCUUGACGUGAUAAGUAUGCUUCUACGUCUUGGGUUUCGCACCGUUGACCUGGAACCUGCUUCCAACAGUCUUCGAGAUGAAGACGAUGUUCGAGUUGCGUUGCGACUCUGACCUUCACCGACCUUGACCUCAAAUCGGGUGAGACUACCCGCUGAACUUAAGCAUAUCAAUAAGCGGAGGAAAAGAAACUAACAAGGAUUCCCCUAGUAACUGCG
RNAcentral lists this ribosomal RNA (686 nucleotides) under Russula crustosa. Its description in RNAcentral is "eukaryotic LSU rRNA". The stretch from base 194 to 347 matches the Rfam family "5.8S ribosomal RNA". Lineage: Eukaryota; Fungi; Basidiomycota; Agaricomycetes; Russulales; Russulaceae. The record is from RNAcentral.